AUAUAUUAAAAUGUUGAUAAAAAAGGUUAAUUGUUUUUGUUUUCAAGAAAAAUCAUAAAAGCUUUGUUGAUAUGAACCUGUGCGUAUUGCGCCACUUGUAAAACUGGUUGUGUGGUGUUAAUUUCUCUGUUUUGAUCAUUGUCACAGAUUGUUGGAGACUGCACUCCUUGUGAAUCAGGAGACAGUGGAUAUUUGAGACUGAUCAAUCGUGGUUCAGAGCGUGACGCAACUUUCAGAGGCCCAUGACAUCACCCAGUCACAAAGGUUUUUCACUUAUUUUUGCGGGCGUCAUAUCAGUACAACAUAAAAAUCCACCAUAAACUGAAGAAUUCAAGAUGCAAGUAAACGUGUUAGUUGUAAUUAGAAUUGAGGAAAUAUAAAACACAAUGAGAAUACACAAAAAAUUCACAUUCACACUUUGUCAGGCCUUGGCUUGCCCGUGGUGAUGUUGCUGUGCCAAUACUAAUAACAUCUGAGCGACUGUCACCAGUAAAGUAUGAGGGAUUGAACAUCAAUGCAGCAUUUUAACAUUUUUAUAAUCUCUUGGAUCAUGUUCUUAUGUUUUUUUUUUUCCAACUGUGAUACUUUGUAUUAUUGCUCGAUAAACUGGCACAUAGGCUUGAUUUCCAAAUGAAUUCUACAAAAAUGAGUUGUGACAACAUCUUAAAGACAAACGGCAAAAGAAAUGAAAUUAAAUACAGCAGACAUCUCGACUUUGGCAAAUUUAACUUUAAAAAAAAUACUGUCAAUGCAUUGUAGUGGAUAAUAGAUAUGAGACAAAACCUUAUUUUAUAAAAAAUAAAUACAAAAGAACCAAAAAAGAAAAUAAUCAUACAACUGUGCUAUAAGUGCCACUAACUCCUUGCCACUUGAAGCCACAAUUAGGGGAGUGCUUUCAACCUAGAAAAUGAAGGGAGAAGGGAGCAGCUCCACACUUUGGUACCUUGGCUUGUUCCAUGCAUCACCUAAAGGGUGACAGUGAUGAAGCAAGACCAUCUACCAUUGUGGAUUUUCUCUGACUCCCUUCUCUGUUAAGUGAAACGUUCUUAGCAGCCAUCUCUUUCAUGCAGGUUACCAAGGUCAAUCUGAAUGCCUUAUCAACUGUUCUUUUGAACUAACACUAGAAAUGUAUAUACAAAGAAUGCACUUUAUUUCUGUGUUGUUGUUUUUUUUUCUUCUUUUUUUUAAGACUUGGGUAAAACCCCAGCUUCUUAUCCUUGCGUAACAACUCGACUGCUCUCUUGAGCACCUCUCCAACUUUCACUAGCCAAUCAAGUAACCAAUCUAAACCCACAUAUGACACACUAACUGUAUACAUAAAUCCAAUUUAAUUGAGCCUUUAGCAUGUGCAAAAGUUUUAGCAUGUGCAAAACUAGCGGCAUGAUCAGGGACUGGUCAACGGUUUAGUUAAACACAAGCAGUGAUCAUGGUGUUCUUGCACUUGCUUGCAAUUUUAGCAUUACAAUAAGGCUCUCUUCAAUCUGGCAACAAUACAUGCACCUUAAACAUGAAAUCCCCAAUCCCAUGCUAACUGCAUUCAGAAUAAUAAGUUAAGGAUUUUCAAGGCAGUUGCACUACAGUAUAAGAAUAACAUUCAUAGCAAAAGACCUCAAGUACAUCAAACACUGUUCGAAUCUGGAUCUUCAAAAUGCGCAAUACAUUGCUGAUUGCCGUGUACAUUCACAUCCGCCAGCACUAUGGUAAAUCCCAUUAAGACAUUUGUGUGAUUUUUCCAGUUGAUCUGAUACUUAUUCCUAAAUGUUGGAUUGAAUACAACUUCAUGCUCAUGUAUUUUCAUACUGUAUUCCAUUUAUGUGUUUGAUUAUUUGUGGAUUGUUUUGGCCUUUCACAGUUUAGCACAAAUGCUUCACAAGAUCUCAGGUAAGCGAUCUGUAGCCUGUUUGCUUUAGGUUUACACUGCCUUUCAUGUUGAUAGUUUAAAUAUCCCAUCAUGGAUUUAAUCAGCCCAACCUUUCUUCUUAAGGAUGUUAAGUGCAUUCAAACCAAAAGUCAAUUUUAAGGGAGACAGGUGAAUGCUAUGUCUAAUUUGACUGCCACACGCAACUGGCAAAGCUGUGUCUAGUGAAUUGCUUUCUUGGUGCCUUUGUGUUUCAACCCACAUGGCUAAAAUAAAGACGUCCUCACAAGUAAAGGGAGAAGCAUCACAUAACUGAACUGUAGUCAAAACGGCGCAUUCAGAUUAAUCAUUUUCAAGGCCUUCUUACGAGAAAAAGGACAUUUCACAAUAUCCUAAAAGAUGACAGUAAGAAUUUUAGAAUGAACUUAAAUUACAUAGAAAUAUCAAAAGAAACAGCUCCACUUUUAAGACUUGCCAUGUGAAAGAUGGCAUUUUCUUGCUCAUUUUUCUUUCAAAGACGUUUCAUGCAACAACAAUUUCUUUGAACAAUGAAACACAUUUGUUAUAUGUUCAGUUAAAAAAAGAAGCUUGUUUUACAUAGUUUUAAAUAUACUUCUUUUCCAGGGCAGGCACCGUACGCACAAACCAGGUACAGAGGCAUGCCACAAACUUCCAUUGCUUUUGCAUUCUACUAUUGGCAGCUGUGAUGUCAUUGAAGCAGCAAGCUGGUGGGUAGUCCUAUUAUUUGGUUGACCCCGAACAUCUCACAUUCUAAGCCAUGCCCACAACUCUCCACACUGCUACUGUGACAUCACAGAGGGAGGGAGGUAUGGGGAUAGUACAAGCUAGAAUGGGAAAAAGGCAGCGCAACAAGACUCCGUGGCGCAUGCAGAGAUGGGGGUGGGGUUGAAAGGUUGGGGAAGGAGGGAGAGGUCUGGCCCAGGGUUGCAGUCAGAUAUUCGGAAGAGGGUGGGGUUAAAGUAGAGGAAAACGGACGAUGUUCAUGUUUGUUUGUUUUUGUUUUUGUUGUUUUUUCUUCUUUUUUUUUUUUUCUUUUUUUUGCACUACGUUACUUCUAUGUAUUUUAAAUCACAUUUAGUUUCUUAAAUUUAUACAACAUUAUGUCACAGAUGAGGCUCAUUGUGGUUUGUAUCUCUCCCUGUGCUGGUACUGUGAGGAGGAUAGAGACAGAGAGAGAUUAUGGAUAUUGCAUCAGAGGAGCAAUAUUAGACUGGGAAGCAUGACCACAAUUCAGCAAUUUUGUAGUAAGUAUUUUUCCCUAAACCCGAAUUGUGAAAUUACCCACAAAGUGCAAGUGUAAUCAAGUCAUUAUUAAAGCUUCAUCAAAUAGGUACACAAAUAGAUAUGUGCUAAAAUCGGAUCAAUGACAACUGUGUGAUACAGAUUAUCACAGUAUAUGAAAUGUGUGUACUUUUAGGAUCAAAUUUCAAGCUAUUCUUUUUUUUCUAGAUUUCAGAAAAGUGACUUUUCUGUAGCAAUUAUAUCUGUAAACGAGUUUCACUGACUGUUACUUUUAAGUGUAAAGAAACAUCUUUUUCUUUAUCGUUCUCUUUAACUUGAUGAACAUUCAUGUUUUUCUAGUAAUUUCUGACCUUAAUGUUGAUAAUGUGGCUCAGCACUAGGAACCUGCUUAACAAAACAAAUAAAGAUUAUAUUGCAAAGUUUUUAUCGUAACCUAUUAAACGGGGGGUGCUUAGGGAUAUAAAUCACUGGGUUCAUAAUAUUCCCCAUUUCUAGAUCUUUUUGUUCAUUGGUUAGACACAGUUAAAAAGUCUGUCCUUUGGACUAAAAAUUACAAUUAGUUGGACUGUUUGACUCCACCAGACUGCUGCUGUUGCAAGUUUCAAACGUACUUCCUCAUGAGGAAGGUGGCAUCUGAAAAGGUGGAUCAAACCUUACUACCUCCUUUCCUCCAGUUCCGAUGUCCACUGGAUCAUGAACUUUGUUUAUAGUGGUCUGUGCUACUGUGCCUUGAUUCAUGUGUUUCAAGGGUGAAUCUGUCACUGCAAACAAAUUUACAUUUAUAUCCAAUUAAGAUAAAAUCAUCUGGGCUAUUCAUUUGUUCAUGGCGUUUCAGGGCAAGAUGACCAUGAAAAGAAAUAGUAAGAGCAGAAAAUGAAAUAAAAUAAA
Long non-coding RNA from Sinocyclocheilus anshuiensis, 4009 nucleotides. RefSeq lists it as uncharacterized. The transcript is spliced from 2 exons. NCBI's taxonomy places the organism in Eukaryota, Metazoa, Chordata, Actinopteri, Cypriniformes, Cyprinidae. The record is from RefSeq and is a predicted model, not a curated record.